Molecule: long non-coding RNA, 603 nt
Filed under: Ananas comosus (pineapple)
Lineage: Eukaryota; Viridiplantae; Streptophyta; Magnoliopsida; Poales; Bromeliaceae
Description: long non-coding RNA (ACOM_LNC032012)
Source: RNAcentral
AUUAUUUGUUAAUGGAAUCAUCUAUUAUGUUGAGAGCUACAAUUUUGUCUCUUCUUUUGUAUUACCUAAUGUUUGUUGACAUAAUUUGUUCUCCACAUUGAGGACAGAAACAAACCGUACCCAACACGAGAGCCAUGAUAAAAGAAUUGUAUCACAUUCUAAUUUAUGGAACCACAUUUUGGUUUGUGUCUUUUGUUGAAAAUGUAGCAAAAUGUAACAACUAUUCAAACAUAUGUGAUUGAUAAUUGGAUUUAAGUAUUUUGGGCAGGCGGUUUAUAUCUAAUUAGUUAUUAUUGUUAGUUAAGUAGGUACAUUUGGUAGAGUUGGUUCACGCGUCGAAGUUUACGUGAGUUAUCGGGAUUUAAAUAAGGGGAGUAUAUGAUGUCUCAAUAAUUUCUUAUCGGAUGAAAGUAUAAGAAUUACAUACUCUGGUACUAAAAAUUGGAUUUAAGUAUUUUCGGUUGGUGGCUUGGAUUUAGUAAGUUAUUAAUAUUAAUUAGGCUGGGUCAUUUGCACCUGUUUGGAAUGUUGUAUAGAUUUAUUGUUUUUAUUUUUGAAAAUGUCAUAGUGUGUUGUUGUUGUAUUUUUUUUUUUUUUUUUUUU